CCUACGGGGGGCAGCAGUGGGGAAUAUUGCACAAUGGGGGAAACCCUGAUGAAGCAACGCGACAUGAGCGACGAAGGCCUUCGGGUCGUAAAGACCUGUCCUAAGGGAAGAAUACUGACGGUACCUUAGGAGGAAGCCCCGGCUAACUACGUGCCAGCAGCCGUGGUAAUACGUAGGGGGCUAGCGUUAUCCGGAAUUACUGGGCGGAAAGGGUGCGUAGGCGGUCCAGCAAGUCAGAGGUGAAAGGCUACGGCUCAACCGUAGUAAGCCUUUGAAACUGUCGGGCUUGAGUGCAGGAGAGGAGAGUGGAAUUCCCAGUGUAGCGGUGAAAUGCGUAGAUAUUGGGAGGAACACCAGUUGCGAAGGCGGCUCUCUGGACUGUAACUGACGCUGAGGCACGAAAGCGUGGGGCGCGAACAGGAUUAGAUACCCGAGUAGUC
Molecule: ribosomal RNA, 440 nt
Filed under: uncultured bacterium
Lineage: Bacteria
Description: bacterial SSU rRNA
Rfam family: Bacterial small subunit ribosomal RNA
Source: RNAcentral